UUCCCUGUGGCUCAGUGGGUAGAGCAUGGUGUUUGCAACGCCAGGGUUGUGGGUUAGAUUCCCAUGGGGGGGG
RNAcentral lists this transfer RNA (73 nucleotides) under Salmo salar (Atlantic salmon). It matches the Rfam family "tRNA". Rfam says of the family: Transfer RNA (tRNA) molecules are approximately 80 nucleotides in length. Their secondary structure includes four short double-helical elements and three loops (D, anti-codon, and T loops). Lineage: Eukaryota; Metazoa; Chordata; Actinopteri; Salmoniformes; Salmonidae. The record is from Rfam by way of RNAcentral.